This 742-nucleotide ribosomal RNA is filed under the name Streptomyces sp. P26. RNAcentral's name for it is "bacterial SSU rRNA". It matches the Rfam family "Bacterial small subunit ribosomal RNA", at positions 61 to 819 of the family's 1533-position model. Lineage: Bacteria; Bacillati; Actinomycetota; Actinomycetes; Kitasatosporales; Streptomycetaceae. The record is from RNAcentral.
GUCGUACGAUGAACCACKUMRGUGGGGAUUAGUGGCGAACGGGUGAGUAACRCGUGGGCAAUCUGCCCUUCACUCKGGGACAAGCCCUGGAAACGGGGUCUAAUACCGGAUAACACUCCUGCCUGCAUGGGCGGGGGUUAAAAGCUCCGGCGGUGAAGGAUGAGCCCGCGGCCUAUCAGCUUGUUGGUGAGGUAACGGCUCACCAAGGSGACGACGGGUAGCCGGCCCUGAGAGGGCGACCGGCCACACUGGGACUGAGACACGGCCCAGACUCCUACGGGAGGCAGCAGUGGGGAAUAUUGCACAAUGGGCGAAAGCCUGAUGCAGCGACGCCGCGUGAGGGAUGACKGCCUUCGGGUUGUAAACCUCUUUCAGCAGGGAAGAAGCGAAAGUGACGGUACCUGCAGAAGAAGCGCCGGCUAACUACGUGCCAGCAGCCGCGGUAAUACGUAGGGCGCAAGCGUUGUCCGGAAUUAUUGGGCGUAAAGAGCUCGUASGCGGCUUGUCACGUCGGUUGUGAAAGCCCGGGGCUUAACCCCGGGUCUGCAGUCGAUACGGGCAGGCUAGAGUUCGGUAGGGGAGAUCGGAAUUCCUGGUGUAGCGGUGAAAUGCGCAGAUAUCAGGAGGAACACCGGUGGCGAAGGCGGAUCUCUGGGCCGAUACUGACGCUGAGGAGCGAAAGCGUGGGGAGCGAACAGGAUUAGAUACCCUGGUAGUCCACGCCGUAAACGGUGGGCACUAG